This 978-nucleotide ribosomal RNA is filed under the name Alteromonas sp. RNAcentral describes it as "bacterial SSU rRNA". It matches the Rfam family "Bacterial small subunit ribosomal RNA", at positions 55 to 1031 of the family's 1533-position model. The record is from RNAcentral. Lineage: Bacteria; Pseudomonadati; Pseudomonadota; Gammaproteobacteria; Alteromonadales; Alteromonadaceae.
CUGCAGUCGAACGGAAACAUGUCUAGCUUGCUAGAUGAUGUCGAGUGGCGGACGGGUGAGUAAUGCUUGGGAACUUGCCUUUGCGAGGGGGAUAACAGUUGGAAACGACUGCUAAUACCGCAUAAUGUCUACGGACCAAACNGGGCUUCGGCUCUGGCGCAAAGAGAGGCCCAAGUGAGAUUAGCUAGUUGGUGAGGUAAAGGCUCACCAAGGCAACGAUCUCUAGCUGUUCUGAGAGGAAGAUCAGCCACACUGGGACUGAGACACGGCCCAGACUCCUACGGGAGGCAGCAGUGGGGAAUAUUGCACAAUGGGGGAAACCCUGAUGCAGCCAUGCCGCGUGUGUGAAGAAGGCCUUCGGGUUGUAAAGCACUUUCAGUUGUGAGGAAAAGUUAGUAGUUAAUACCUGCUAGCCGUGACGUUAACAACAGAAGAAGCACCGGCUAACUCCGUGCCAGCAGCCGCGGUAAUACGGAGGGUGCGAGCGUUAAUCGGAAUUACUGGGCGUAAAGCGCACGCAGGCGGUUUGUUAAGCUAGAUGUGAAAGCCCCGGGCUCAACCUGGGACGGUCAUUUAGAACUGGCAGACUAGAGUCUUGGAGAGGGGAGUGGAAUUCCAGGUGUAGCGGUGAAAUGCGUAGAUAUCUGGAGGAACAUCAGUGGCGAAGGCGACUCCCUGGCCAAAGACUGACGCUCAUGUGCGAAAGUGUGGGUAGCGAACAGGAUUAGAUACCCUGGUAGUCCACACCGUAAACGCUGUCUACUAGCUGUUUGUGACUUUAAGUCGUGAGUAGCGAAGCUAACGCGAUAAGUAGACCGCCUGGGGAGUACGGCCGCAAGGUUAAAACUCAAAUGAAUUGACGGGGGCCCGCACAAGCGGUGGAGCAUGUGGUUUAAUUCGAUGCAACGCGAAGAACCUUACCUACACUUGACAUGUUGAGAAGUUACCAGAGAUGGUUUCGUGCCUUCGGGAACUCAA